UUAUUUUUUUAUUGCUUCUUAACUAACAGUUACAAUUACCACCAUGUGUAAAAUAAGAUCAGUUUCAGGAUGACUUCAAGGCCCAAGUUUAUAACAUUGGCAGGCUACAGGAGGUGGGAUGAGUCCUGCCAAAGCUAACAGCUAAUUUGGGGAAGUCUACUCGGACAACUUUGGUAAAAUCAGCUAAACUCUCCUUAGUCUUUGUUUGCAGAAGUAGCAGCAGCUAGCUAACACCUUCUGAUUGCUCACCAUGUGCCCUUGACUGAGUUAAAUGUGUUAUAUGCAGACAACUGCGGUUGAAACAAGCUGCUACUCAUUAGCAGGAUGACUUAACCAUAAAAAUCUUCAAUUUUCUCUGGAAAAUGGGGAUAAUAAGCUCAUAUAAUCUCCUAGGGUUGCUGGGAGAAUUAAAUCAGAAGCUAUGAUAAUAAGGCAAACAGAUGCUUCUGGAGUGUAGCAGAUUGUAUUUCUGAAAAUGGCCACAAGAAUGUGCUCUCCUAGAACCUUGCCCAUGCCCCCAUCAAGAGGUGGAUGGUUCUUUGUGACAGCCACACUGAAUAGGAUGUGGUGGAGGUGGUACUGUGUGACUGGCUAAUAAAAGGUAAUAUGGCCUCUGUCUCUCUCUCGUUCUGUACUAUAAGAGUUCUGAACCAUCCUGUGACAAGUCUAGUUACCCUAAAGCUGUCAUGCAGGAGAGACCAUGUGGAGAGAAGGAGAGUUAGAGAGAGGAGGAGCCCCUGCUGUUUGAGUAUUCUCAGCCCAGACACCAGACAUGAGUGAGGAAGCAUUCAGGAAAAGACAGAAGCUGAUUGAGGUCCCAGCUUGGUAACAGUUUGAAGAGUUGCAGGACUGGCUGGAUGAGUACUGGCUGCAGCAAAUCAGGCUGCCAGGAUUCUUUAUGGCUGUUUCUGCUUCCACUACAGCUGAGUCAGAAAGGUCGCUGCCCCGUGGUGGCACUAGACGCAGUGGACCUGGCAAGCAAAUGUUUCCGCUAUUAGCUCUCAGCAACAGAGACUCAUUUAUGGUCACCUUGGAAAUCUGGGCUUAUCGAUCUACAGCCCAAGUCUGCUGAGAAGCUGGAGCUUACUAAAGGGGAAACCUGAGAGCUGUUCAAGCCCCAAAUAUUUUCCACUUCUGCGUCACCUCUGCUGUCUGUUAGCAGAGUGGAGGAGAAAAUACACAGCACAAACAACGUGAAAAAAUAGUUACUCUAUUCAUUAAAAGCUGUAACUUCCAGAUUGGACUUGAGAAGCAAUUAAGCAACAGAGGAACCUCAUCUACUAUCUGUAUUCAGG
RNAcentral lists this long non-coding RNA (1295 nucleotides) under Homo sapiens (human). RNAcentral's name for it is "DOCK8 antisense RNA 2". The record is from RNAcentral. Lineage: Eukaryota; Metazoa; Chordata; Mammalia; Primates; Hominidae.